Molecule: long non-coding RNA, 321 nt
Filed under: Mustela putorius furo (domestic ferret)
Lineage: Eukaryota; Metazoa; Chordata; Mammalia; Carnivora; Mustelidae
Description: lncRNA (ENSMPUG00000027860.1)
Source: RNAcentral
CCUGGUUCCUCUCAGUGAUCCAUCAACAAAAUGUUGAUCCCAAGACUUCACAGAUGCAAUCCAUGUUUCCUGUGGAACACAGAUUAUCUGCCGAAUCACUCUGUGAGACAGGAAAUGAAAGUAGAGGAAAGGAGAAUACCUGUGUAUGAAAAUGCAGAAGAGGAAAAUAAAUUAUCUUCGACUUCAGGCAAUACUCCAAGUGGAAACAAGCAAUAAAGAUCUAUAUUUCCCCACCAAUAUGAAAUUAUGGCCACGUCACCAAAUCUAGUAAGUCAACUAUUGCUUUCAGUUUUAAUUAACUUUUUAAAAGUGAUCUUUUUA